ACACAUGCAAGUCGAGGGGAAACGGCAUUGAGUGCUUGCACUCUUUGGACGUCGACCGGCGCACGGGUGAGUAACGCGUAUCCAACCUUCCCAUUACUGUGGGAUAACCUGCCGAAAGGCAGACUAAUACCGCAUAGUCUUCGAUGACGGCAUCAGAUUUGAAGUAAAGAUUUAUCGGUAAUGGAUGGGGAUGCGUCUGAUUAGCUUGUUGGCGGGGUAACGGCCCACCAAGGCUACGAUCAGUAGGGGUUCUGAGAGGAAGGUCCCCCACAUUGGAACUGAGACACGGUCCAAACUCCUACGGGAGGCAGCAGUGAGGAAUAUUGGUCAAUGGACGCAAGUCUGAACCAGCCAAGUAGCGUGCAGGAUGACGGCCCUAUGGGUUGUAAACUGCUUUUAUGUGGGAAUAAAGUGGCGCACGUGUGCGCCAUUGCAUGUACCUCAUGAAUAAGGACCGGCUAAUUCCGUGCCAGCAGCCGCGGUAAUACGGAAGGUCCGGGCGUUAUCCGGAUUUAUUGGGUUUAAAGGGAGUGUAGGCGGUCUGUUAAGCGUGUUGUGAAAUUUAGGUGCUCAACAUUUAACUUGCAGCGCGAACUGUCAGACUUGAGUACACGCAGCGCAGGCGGAAUUCAUGGUGUAGCGGUGAAAUGCUUAGAUAUCAUGAGGAACUCCGAUCGCGAAGGCAGCCUGCGGGAGUGUUACUGACGCUUAAGCUCGAAGGUGCGGGUAUCGAACAGGAUUAGAUACCCUGGUAGUCCGCACUGUAAACGAUGGAUGCCCGCCGUUGGCGCCCUGCGCCUGCGGCCAAGCGAAAGCAUUAAGCAUCC
RNAcentral lists this ribosomal RNA (827 nucleotides) under uncultured Bacteroidota bacterium. RNAcentral describes it as "bacterial SSU rRNA". It matches the Rfam family "Bacterial small subunit ribosomal RNA", at positions 51 to 869 of the family's 1533-position model. Lineage: Bacteria; Pseudomonadati; Bacteroidota. The record is from RNAcentral.